Molecule: ribosomal RNA, 462 nt
Filed under: uncultured bacterium
Lineage: Bacteria
Description: partial 16S ribosomal RNA
Rfam family: Bacterial small subunit ribosomal RNA
Source: RNAcentral
AACAAACGCUGGCGGCGUGCCUAAUACAUGCAAGUCGAACGGGGAAAGCUUGCGGGUGAGUACUAGUGGCGCACGGGUGAGGAACGCGUGGAUAAUCUGCCUUAGAGUGGGGGAUAACUAGUCGACAGAUUAGCUAAUACCGCAUAAGACCACGAGAGCUGCGGCUUUUGAGGUCAAAGGUGUUUCGCUCUAAGAUGAGUCCGCGUAAGAUUAGCUAGUUGGUGAGGUAACGGCUCACCAAGGCGACGAUCUUUAACUGGUCUGAGAGGAUGAUCAGUCACAGUGGCGCUGAGACACCGUACAGACCCCUACGGGAGGCAGGAGUAGAGAAUAGUGCAAAAUGGAGAAAACUCUGAUGCAGCGACGCCGCGUGAGUGAUGAAGGCCUGCGGGGCGUAAAGCUCUGUCGCAGGGGAAUAACACAAUGAAGGUAACCGGUAAGAAAGGACCGGCUAACUUCGUG